UUCAUCAGGACGAACGCUGGCGGCGUGCCUAAUACAUGCAAGUCGUACGCUUCUUUUUCCACCGGAGCUUGCUCCACCGGAAAAAGAAGAGUGGCGAACGGGUGAGUAACACGUGGGUAACCUGCCCAUCAGAAGGGGAUAACACUUGGAAACAGGUGCUAAUACCGUAUAACAAUCGAAACCGCAUGGUUUUGAUUUGAAAGGCGCUUUCGGGUGUCGCUGAUGGAUGGACCCGCGGUGCAUUAGCUAGUUGGUGAGGUAACGGCUCACCAAGGCCACGAUGCAUAGCCGACCUGAGAGGGUGAUCGGCCACAUUGGGACUGAGACACGGCCCAAACUCCUACGGGAGGCAGCAGUAGGGAAUCUUCGGCAAUGGACGAAAGUCUGACCGAGCAACGCCGCGUGAGUGAAGAAGGUUUUCGGAUCGUAAAACUCUGUUGUUAGAGAAGAACAAGGAUGAGAGUAACUGUUCAUCCCUUGACGGUAUCUAACCAGAAAGCCACGGCUAACUACGUGCCAGCAGCCGCGGUAAUACGUAGGUGGCAAGCGUUGUCCGGAUUUAUUGGGCGUAAAGCGAGCGCAGGCGGUUUCUUAAGUCUGAUGUGAAAGCCCCCGGCUCAACCGGGGAGGGUCAUUGGAAACUGGGAGACUUGAGUGCAGAAGAGGAGAGUGGAAUUCCAUGUGUAGCGGUGAAAUGCGUAGAUAUAUGGAGGAACACCAGUGGCGAAGGCGGCUCUCUGGUCUGUAACUGACGCUGAGGCUCGAAAGCGUGGGGAGCAAACAGGAUUAGAUACCCUGGUAGUCCACGCCGUAAACGAUGAGUGCUAAGUGUUGGAGGGUUUCCGCCCUUCAGUGCUGCAGCUAACGCAUUAAGCACUCCGCCUGGGGAGUACGACCGCAAGGUUGAAACUCAAAGGAAUUGACGGGGGCCCGCACAAGCGGUGGAGCAUGUGGUUUAAUUCGAAGCAACGCGAAGAACCUUACCAGGUCUUGACAUCCUUUGACCACUCUAGAGAUAGAGCUUCCCCUUCGGGGGCAAAGUGACAGGUGGUGCAUGGUUGUCGUCAGCUCGUGUCGUGAGAUGUUGGGUUAAGUCCCGCAACGAGCGCAACCCUUAUUGUUAGUUGCCAUCAUUCAGUUGGGCACUCUAGCAAGACUGCCGGUGACAAA
RNAcentral lists this ribosomal RNA (1170 nucleotides) under Enterococcus sp. L9. RNAcentral describes it as "bacterial SSU rRNA". It matches the Rfam family "Bacterial small subunit ribosomal RNA", at positions 20 to 1162 of the family's 1533-position model. The record is from RNAcentral. Lineage: Bacteria; Bacillati; Bacillota; Bacilli; Lactobacillales; Enterococcaceae.